AUGUCCUUAAAAGCCAGGUCUCAGUCGGACCUGCAGCAGACCGGGUCCUCGCUGGACGACGGCCUGAGCCGGUCCUUCUCCACCAGCAGCAGCAACCUCCACAAAGCAGGAGCGGACGAGGUCAAAGGUCAGUCCAGGAGCAUCAGGAGGCCGGUGAGGGCGGUGAGGCCGCUCAGCGCCGCCAGCGCCAGCGGCUCCUUCCUGCAGAUCAACCACCUGCAGGGAGAGCUGGUCCGAAAGAGGAAGGAAUGCGAAGAUCUGAGGAAGGAAAACAAGCACUUAUCAAAUGAGAUCCACAUGGAGAGGAUCACGAUGCGCACGGAGAACGAGCUCAUCAUGAGGAACCUCCGAAACCUGAACCAGGAGCUGCAGGCCCAAAUCAAAGAGGUACCGGCACAGGGCGCGCUGCUAAUCAGUGUCCCACACCAUAAAUCAGCCCCCACCACUAAAACUGCAGGGAGGCCCACACAUGCAAACACCAAGCGUUCCCCUCACAUCCUGGAUGCAGCUCACAUCAUCUGUUUAGAUGCUUCCUCAUAGUAACACGUGUGUUUAUGCCAAACGGCAGACGUGCUGCCGCUCAGAUUACACAUAGACACAAAGACGGGCCUCUAGGGUUUCUGAGCUCUCUCUCACCUGCGGCAGCUCAAGCAGAAGCUCUAUCAGAGCCAGCAGAGGGCGGCGCUGUGCUCCCGGGCUGCAGGUGAAGCCGAGGAGUCCAGGAACGAGGCGGAGAAGAGCCGGGUGCUGACGGAGGCGCGGGCCCUCGCGUGUCAGAGGGACAGGGAGGCGUCUGAGGCCGACAGACGGCACCUGAGCGAGGAGCUGCAGCGGCUCAAAGACCA
Molecule: long non-coding RNA, 845 nt
Filed under: Betta splendens (Siamese fighting fish)
Lineage: Eukaryota; Metazoa; Chordata; Actinopteri; Anabantiformes; Osphronemidae
Description: lncRNA (ENSBSLG00000016000.1)
Source: RNAcentral